This 510-nucleotide ribosomal RNA is filed under the name uncultured bacterium. Its description in RNAcentral is "partial 16S ribosomal RNA". It matches the Rfam family "Bacterial small subunit ribosomal RNA", at positions 28 to 523 of the family's 1533-position model. The record is from RNAcentral.
GACGAACGCUGGCGGCGUGCCUAAUACAUGCAAGUCGAGCGGACUUAAAAAGCUUGCUUUUUGAGUUAGCGGCGGACGGGUGAGUAACACGUGGGCAACCUGCCUGUAAGACUGGGAUAACUUCGGGAAACCGGAGCUAAUACCGGAUAAUCAUUUCCUACUCAUGUAGGAAAGCUGAAAGACGGUUUACGCUGUCACUUACAGAUGGGCCCGCGGCGCAUUAGCUAGUUGGUGAGGUAACGGCUCACCAAGGCGACGAUGCGCAGCCGACAUGAGAGGGUGAUCGGCCACACUGGGACUGAGACACGGCCCAGACUCCUACGGGAGGCAGCAGUAGGGAAUCUUCCGCAAUGGACGAAAGUCUGACGGAGCAACGCCGCGUGAGUGAUGAAGGUUUUCGGAUCGUAAAACUCUGUUGUUAGGGAAGAACAAGUACGAGAGUAACUGCUCGUACCUUGACGGUACCUAACCAGAAAGCCACGGCUAACUACGUGCCAGCCGCCGCCGUAA